AACGAACGCUGGCGGCAGGCUUAACACAUGCAAGUUGAACGGGAUUUAUUUAGUACUUGUACUGGAUGAUGAGAGUGGCGCACGGGUGAGUAAUAUGUAGGAACAUACCUAUUGGUCGGGAAUAACGGUUGGAAACGACAGCUAAUACCGGAUAAGCCCUGAGGGGGAAAGAUUUAUCGCCGAUAGAAUGGCCUGCAUCAGAUUAGGCAGUUGGUGGGGUAAAGGCCUACCAAACCGACGAUCUGUAGCUGGUCUGAGAGGACGAUCAGCCACAUUGGGACUGAGACACGGCCCAGACUCCUACGGGAGGCAGCAGUGAGGAAUAUUGGGCAAUGGGGGCAACCCUGACCCAGCCAUGCCGCGUGAGUGAAGAAGGUUUUCGGAUUGUAAAAGCUCUUUCGGAUGUGACGAUGAUGACGGUAGCAUCUAAAAGAAGCCCCCGGCAAAAACUUCGUG
RNAcentral lists this ribosomal RNA (456 nucleotides) under uncultured bacterium. RNAcentral's name for it is "bacterial SSU rRNA". It matches the Rfam family "Bacterial small subunit ribosomal RNA", at positions 29 to 507 of the family's 1533-position model. The record is from RNAcentral.